RNAcentral lists this ribosomal RNA (917 nucleotides) under Clathrospora sp. T1C-S4. Its description in RNAcentral is "SSU rRNA". It matches the Rfam family "Eukaryotic small subunit ribosomal RNA", at positions 43 to 966 of the family's 1831-position model. Lineage: Eukaryota; Fungi; Ascomycota; Dothideomycetes; Pleosporales; Diademaceae. The record is from RNAcentral.
AUUAGGCCAUGCAUGUCUAAGUAUAAGCAAUUAUACCGUGAAACUGCGAAUGGCUCAUUAAAUCAGUUAUCGUUUAUUUGAUAAUACCUUACUACUUGGAUAACCGUGGUAAUUCUAGAGCUAAUACAUGCUGAAAAUCCCGACUUCGGAAGGGAUGUGUUUAUUAGAUAAAAAACCAAUGCCCUUCGGGGCUUUUUGGUGAUUCAUGAUAACUUUACGGAUCGCAUAGCCUUGCGCUGGCGACGGUUCAUUCAAAUUUCUGCCCUAUCAACUUUCGAUGGUAAGGUAUUGGCUUACCAUGGUUUCAACGGGUAACGGGGAAUUAGGGUUCGAUUCCGGAGAGGGAGCCUGAGAAACGGCUACCACAUCCAAGGAAGGCAGCAGGCGCGCAAAUUACCCAAUCCCGACACGGGGAGGUAGUGACAAUAAAUACUGAUACAGGGCUCUUUUGGGUCUUGUAAUUGGAAUGAGUACAAUUUAAACCUCUUAACGAGGAACAAUUGGAGGGCAAGUCUGGUGCCAGCAGCCGCGGUAAUUCCAGCUCCAAUAGCGUAUAUUAAAGUUGUUGCAGUUAAAAAGCUCGUAGUUGAAACUUGGGCCUGGCUGGCGGGUCCGCCUCACCGCGUGCACUCGUCCGGCCGGGCCUUCCUUCUGAAGAACCUCAUGCCCUUCACUGGGCGUGCUGGGGAAUCAGGACUUUUACUUUGAAAAAAUUAGAGUGUUCAAAGCAGGCCUUUGCUCGAAUACGUUAGCAUGGAAUAAUAAAAUAGGGCGUGCGUUUCUAUUUUGUUGGGUUUCUAGAGACGCCGCAAUGAUUAACAGGAACAGUCGGGGGGCAUCAGUAUUCAGUUGUCAGAGGUGAAAUUCUUGGGAUUUACUGAAGACUAACUACUGCGAAAGCAUUUUGCCAAGGGAUG